GGCCAACGCAACAUUACAUUCGAGACCUUUGUUCCUUUUUCCAGCAGUCUCCCAUCCUUCUCAUCUGCACAUUUUCCUUUCUCUCUCUCUCUCUCGUUGCCCUUCGCUCAAACUUCCUUUCGAACAAAUGAAAAACUGAAAUAAUAGCCGCUGAUUGAAGAGAUUAGAGGCUUAGUCCUCCGAGUGAUGAGGGUCUGAACCAGUGAAAGGAAAGAAAUGGAGGGUGCAGAGGAGGAGCUGGAGAGGAGGAGCAAGUUCCUCAACGGUUUGAUACAGAAGAAGAAAGCGAUUGAGCAGCAAGAGCAGCAUGACCGCAUGAACGUGCGCGUCAGAGCCUGUGACAUGCCGCUUCCUUUGCAGAACUGUGCCUUUCGCUGCGCACGUGACCAACUCGACUCCAUGCCCGGCAAGCUUGACAGUAAACGCCUCGCCCUCGCGCUUAAGAAGGUAGCAAUUACCCGGACAUUCUCAACACGUUAUUUCUUUGGACAAUGCUUAUAGGACAAAUUGCUGUUGAGAAGAAUUUUGACUGGAACAAGGAGAGAUAGGCCUAACUAUUCUAGUAGACAUACUAAGGAUGACUUCCAGGAAUUUGCUCCUUGUGCAUCUGUGUACAAAAAUUUUUAUGAAUCCAGUAAGGCUACCGGAAUUUGACUCUUCAUAUGGUCCAGCUUGGCACUGCAUCGUAGGAACUAGCUUUGGCUCAUAUGUCACACAUUCCUUAGGGGGCUUCUUGUAUUUUUCAAUCGACAAGGUUUAUAUCCUUCUCUUCAAGACUGCUGUUGAGCCUUUAGAACAUUGACAGCUUUAAACUUGAAUGUAUUCAACUGUGUGUUUUAUGAAAUCAAAUACCUCCACUGUCAA
This is an RNA transcript of Juglans microcarpa x Juglans regia, 864 nucleotides long. It is a transcript of the gene named dynein light chain LC6, flagellar outer arm, with no coding region annotated. The transcript is spliced from 4 exons. The record is from RefSeq and is a predicted model, not a curated record. NCBI's taxonomy places the organism in Eukaryota, Viridiplantae, Streptophyta, Magnoliopsida, Fagales, Juglandaceae.